GAUGGACGCUGGCGGCGUGCCUAAUACAUGCAAGUCGAGCGAACGGACGAGAAGCUUGCUUCUCUGAUGUUAGCGGCGGACGGGUGAGUAACACGUGGAUAACCUACCUAUAAGACUGGGAUAACUUCGGGAAACCGGAGCUAAUACCGGAUGAUAUUUUGAACCGCAUGGUUCAAAAGUGAAAGAUGGUCUUGCUGUCACUUAUAGAUGGAUCCGCGCUGCAUUAGCUAGUUGGUAAGGUAACGGCUUACCAAGGCAACGAUGCAUAGCCGACCUGAGAGGGUGAUCGGCCACACUGGAACUGAGACACGGUCCAGACUCCUACGGGAGGCAGCAGUAGGGAAUCUUCCGCAAUGGGCGAAAGCCUGACGGAGCAACGCCGCGUGAGUGAUGAAGGUCUUCGGAUCGUAAAACUCUGUUAUUAGGGAAGAACAUAUGUGUAAGUAACUGUGCACAUCUUGACGGUACCUAAUCAGAAAGCCACGGCUAACUACGUG
This 497-nucleotide ribosomal RNA is filed under the name uncultured bacterium. RNAcentral describes it as "partial 16S ribosomal RNA". It matches the Rfam family "Bacterial small subunit ribosomal RNA", at positions 28 to 507 of the family's 1533-position model. The record is from RNAcentral.